GGGGGUGUUGGGACAUCGUUGGUUCGGGCCACACACACUACUCCUUACAGUACCUGCAGCGGUAAAAAUCAUCAUGUCUCUCCUUGGGGGGUGCAUAGUUCUCAUGUGAAGUGAGGUCCAACUGCAUAAUGGGUGACAUGCCUAUCAGGUGAAACGGAGGAGAUGGGGAACAAAGUGAAAAUGACACGACUUGGGAACACCUCUCGGGACCUGGGCCUGAAAGAGGAAGACUGGGCGAAAGUUUACAGAGUUCUGAACUCAGCCAGCCUCUAUGACUGUUCAGCCAGGUCAACCACUGACCAUCUCCUGUAAGGUCUCAAAUUCUGUUACUAGCUCUAGUGCAAAUUGGAUUAGACAGCCUGAAUGGAAAACACGGGAGUGGAUUGGAUAUACUGUAUCAGUAAUGGUGGAAGCAUAGCUUAUAAAUAUUAACUUAAAAUAAAGUUCAGCAUCACUGGAGCCACUUCCAGCAACACAUUGUUUUUAAAAGGACAGAGUCUGCAGACUGAAGACACAGCUGUGUAUUAUUGUGCUCACUACCACAGUGAUACAAACCACCAACAGACCUGUACUAAAAUUCACUCACCCAUUAAACAGUAGGAGUUCUAUGUAACUACCAGGAGGGGGCGAUAUUAACCUUCUUAAUAAAAUAAGGCCAAAUCCAGUCAUGGAAUGAUGAAUUUAGUUUACUACUACUUUAUAGUUACUACUACUUUAUGCUAUUUUGAUAUGAUAUUAAAUUAUGAGAAUAGACAUAAAUACAUGUAUGCACAAUAUACUCUAAACCUCCAAACCAUGUUUCAUACCUUUGAGACAAUGAGCUCCAUGUUUACUGUCUCAGUGAGCAGCAGGUAGCCUAGCAUUGGGCCAG
Salvelinus sp. IW2-2015 is the source of this 871-nucleotide non-coding RNA. NCBI's taxonomy places the organism in Eukaryota, Metazoa, Chordata, Actinopteri, Salmoniformes, Salmonidae. The record is from RefSeq and is a predicted model, not a curated record.